AAGCAAUAAUUUAAAAUAAUUCUCAAAGGAAGAACGCUUGGAGACAAGUCCUCCUACUUGCUAAAGAAAAGCAAUUUUCAUUAGAACUUUUAGAAAACACUCAGCAUAUUAAUUAUAUAAAAUCUCAACUUGAUGAUGUUAGAAAGGAUGUUAAUGAGAUCUUUUGAAAAACUUCAUUUUAAUAACUUGUGAAAGUGUCAAAUUACUAUUUUUGAAGUUUAGAAGUCUAGGUAAACACUAUAUGAUAAAAUAGGUACCCUGUUUGCUAGCUAAAGAAGAGAUAAUUAAAUAGACUCAAUCUUCAAACCCAUGUUAAGCGUGAGAUAAAUACAAAUACAAAAUAAACCAGGUUACAUCAAGAAAUUAAAUAAAACAAUCGUAAAAUAAAGAGAAGAUAAGAAAGACGACAUAGGCGCCCCCAAGCAUUUCGCUUGUUUUCUUGCUAUCGGGUGCACUCUAAGGAAGAUGCCAUGUGAUGACUCCAUGAUCGAGAAUGGGGGAGUCUUGCAUUAAGACUCCAUAUUUUACUCCAAAUACAUAUGCAAAAGAAAUAAACAAGCCAAGAAUUAGGAAGAAGAAAAAAUCUGUUUUUUCUUUAGUGCUAAAGAGCAGAGGUUAAUAAUAAGUAGAAUCACUUCAAGUAAUAUUGAUAUUCAAAUUAUCUAAAUAAGUUAUUAGCACACUCAUAGCUUAUCAUCUCAUAUUACUACCGUCAUUCAUGCUAUCAUGAAACUAAUAUUACCCAUAUAUAAUAGAUAAUACUAAAAUGCAUGGGCAACUAUGUGACUCAAAAAUUAUUUUAAAGUUUCAAGUAUAAACCCUUUUAAUUCUUAAGUUAAGCAACGGCGUCAGUAAUUAUAAAAGGAUCUAUAAUCGUAUACCAACAUUUCACAAUAACAUGCGUUUCCGUUAGCUAAAGUCUAUAUCAUUGUGAGAAAUUCUAAAUUCUAUGGACAUAGCUUCUAAUUAACCAAUUUAUACAGUAAGAUUAAGCUAAUAUCCAUAAAUUCCCAAAUGGUAAUAUAAACACUUAUUUCACAAAAGAAAUACUCUACGGAAGCAAACACUAUCCAGAUCAUAUAGUAUCAAUUAUUAACGUAAAUAUAACUCAUACUUACUAGAAGACAACCAUGAAGAGGGCAACUAAUGCACUAAUAUAUUCAUAUGACCAUCGACACUUUAUUUUACUUAAUUAAGAGAUAAUUAAAAAUAAUAGUCUUGCAUGAUUUCAUACAUGAACGAAUUUACGAUGGAAAAUAAACUGGAGACAAGAUUUUUAAAACAAAUAAACAAAUAUUUCAGAUCUUCGAAUACAGGAAAGCCGAGAAGAAAGAUUUCGAAGUUACUUACCUUUUUGUGGGCAGUGAAUGGGGCAUCGUCAAGAGGAUCUCCGGCUUUGGCUCAACUCUUUCGUAAGAUCAUCAAAUGCGUACACAAAAAAAAAUAAAAGCUUUGACAAUGCUAUGGACUAAAUAGAGGUCAAAAAGCAGAGAAAACUUAAAGCUGGAUUUUAAGAGAGCAAGGAAGAAGAUAAGCUUUGAAUAGUUAGCCACUGAGGGUGAAGGGAGAUAGAAGGGGGGGUGGCCAACCAUUAGUUUUUCUAGUAAAAUGGUGGCUGAAGCUUAAACUUAUAGGGGAUAGAGGAACGGCCAGAGCUUAAAGGUUAAAGGAGGGGGUUCAAGCUUGUGGGUUUAAAGAGAGGUGUAACUGCUCUCAAAAGCUCUGCCCCAAUAUAUUCCAAAUGCAAGUAUUUAUAGGUGAAGAAGUAGGGUUCAUGUUCCUGAUUUUGAAAUUCAAAAUCCCAUGGCAGAAAAGGAUCACGGGUAUUUUGAUUCAAAAGAGUCGUUCGAGGCAGCUGAUUUUCAACGGGCAAAGUGUAGGUGUGGCAGUAGAGAUUUUACAAAAAAUUUCUAAUCUCCUUCUGGCAUUGGAAAAAUAUAGAAGAAAAUGUAUAUAGAAUGGAAAGACUUUUUGAAGAGAGAGAGAGAGAUAUUUUAGGAAAAAAGAGAAAAGUUGGGGGGAAAUCAAACAUUCUGAAAAGAAAAGAUUUUAUGGGGGAAAGGAGAUUAUUCACGUGAAGAGAGGACAAAAUUGGUGAAACUUUUUAGAUUUGGUCAAAGUUUAGUGUUGGAAUUUGAAGAGAAAAUUCAUUAUAAUAGAAUUCUUGAAAUCCAAAAAGAGAGAUAUUUUGGUGGAAGAAUCUUGAAAAGAAUUGAGACAUGAACUAAUAUUUUUUGGGCUGAUUUAUGGAUUUACUUGGGCUGUCUUGUUUGGAGUGAUUUGGGCCGCUAGAAUUAGUAGAAAAGUAUUGGGCUACUAACUAUCUGAAUUUCCUUUCUUCUUUCCAAAUUCUUUGAGCUUCUAAUAAUAUACAAUAAUAAUAUUAAUAUUAAAACAAUCAAGUAACUAACUUAUUUAUUAUACCUAAUUAUAAUUACUAACUUUUACAUAAAAUACUAAUCGUAAGAUGUUGCGAGAUUUAUUAAAUAUAAUUUCGUAAUAGUUAAAAGUUAUUGAGAAAGAAUAUUCUCAAUUAGUAACAACAAAUACGAUUAAGGUAUGAAUGAGAAAGGCGAUAGCAAUAGCAUUAAUAAUAAUAUUAAUAAUAAUAUUAAUAAUAAUAAUAAUAACAACAUUAAUAAUACUAGUAAUAGUGAUAUUAAUAGUGAUAUUAAGUAAAUAAUAAUAAUAAUUAGGUCUAGUAUGUGCUAAAAAUGGUAAAAUAACUUUUCUUACAUUAUUAGUGAUAUUAGAAGCUUAAAGAAAUAGUUUGGAAGAAAGGAGGAACAAAAUUGGAUGUCAACAGCUGCCUCUCUUUGACCGGAGACGAUGAAAGAGUUUUCGGGCAAAGAAAUUGACAUAGUAGCCAAUUUUGUCCUGACCAUCAAGGUUGAAAUGGGACAAAGGGGACGAAAAAAAUGAUUGCGGCCAAACUCCAUUUUCGAGUUGCCUACAUAUCUCGGGUUUCACUAGAAUUAGGUCAUAUGUAGUUCAAGAUUUAUGGUACCCUGGAGUAGGACUCACUUAUUGAUGCAGAUCCUAAAAUGCCGAAUAAUAGAGGCACUGGGUACCAUGAUUGAAAGAAAGGUGUUGGAAAUAAGAAUUUGAUUAUAAAUUUUGAGUGUCGAGCUAAGCGGAGUUCGAAGUAGACCCUUGACCUUUAUUGGAGAGUUUGGUAUUCCUCCCCAACAAACUGCCCCAGUUCACUGCUAAGAUAUAGUUCCACGUUGCGCUAUAUUUCCUGCAAAGCUUAAUGCUAAAAAUAUUCAUUAGGAAAUAAGAUGCAAUAUGGCGUAAAAGUAAUCUUAUGAAAUCAAUAAAUAAUAUUUAGGCGUCAAUUCAUAAGAAAGGAUAAUUUAAAACAUAUAAAAAAUAUAAUUUUAUGGUGGCAUAUUUCAUGGUCGGCGAUGCCAUAAGAAAAUUUAGAUUAUGAAAAUAAAUGCAUUUGGAAAUGAUUUAUGAACGAUAUAUUUUGGUAAUGCUUAUGCAAGCGAGACCACUCGGGUCGAAAUAAAUUGAUGUCCUUUUGAGGAAGGAUUAACUUCAAUAUCCUAUUUGAGGGCGGAUUGACCCGAUAUAUCCUAUUUGAGGGUGGAUGAACCCGAUAUAUCCUAUUUGAGGAUGGAUAGACCCGAUAUAUCCUAUUUGAGGGCGGAUAGACCUGAUAUAUCCUAUUUGAGGGCGGAUAAACCCGAUAUAUCCUAUUUGAGAGUGGAUAUAUCCUAUUCGAGGGCAAAUAGACACGAUAUAUCAUAUUCGAGGGCGAAUGAACCCGAUAUAUCAUAUUCGAGGGCGAAUGAACCCGAUAAAUCCUAUUUGAGGGCGGAUAGACCCGAUAUAUCCUAUUUGGGGGUGGAUAAACCCGACAUGUCCUAUUUGAAGGUGGACAAGCCUGACAUGUAGUGCCUUAUUUGUAAUUACAAAAAAUUGAUAUGAUGCGGUGCGACGAGCUUGAUAUGGUACAUAAAACUUGAUCUGGUGCCAGAGUUAUAGUAACAAUAUUCAGGGAGCGAUGCAAAGAGCUUGGUGCAGUAGUGAAUAUCCUUGGUGCGAAGAGCUUGAUGCAGUGCCUUUACAGAAGAAGAUAUUCAAGGAGCGGUGCCAAUAAUUUGGAAAUCUGCAUGCUAAAGUUUAUUAUUAGUAAAUUCAUGUACUCAGAUAAAACUAUGAGUUUCAAAAUAUAAUUUGCGAUAACUCGACUUGAUCGUCAUGGUGCACUAUAUUUCCUGCAAGGCAAAUUCGUCAGUAGAGAAAAUAUUGAAAUGCAAUGUGCUGUAAAGUAAUCUUAUGAAAAUGACAUCUUUGGGGCGUUUACUUAUACAAUGCAGCCUAGUCGGCCAAAACGAUUUGAUAAAAAUGUAGCUUUUUGCCAAUGAUGAUUUUCAACAAUAACAUGCAGUUUAUAAAUGUGCUUUGCAAUGAUUUAUGAUAACAGUGCAUUUCAGUAAUGACAUGACCAUCUAGGUCGAAAUAAAUUAAUGAAAAGCAUGUGAAUGUGUGCUAAUGUGUCAUGUUGAAGGCGGACAAGCCUAAAUAUCAUAUUAAAGGCAAACUUGCUUAAAAAUCUAAUUAAAUAUGGAUAAGCGUAAAUAUUUAAUGCAUAGAUGCCAUGUUAAAAGCCGAACAAGCCUAAAUAUAAUAUUAAAGGAAAAUGUGCUUAAAUGUCCCAUUAAAGGCGGAUGAGCCUGAAUGUCAUAAAGGCAAGCGUGCUUGAAUAUUCAAUUAAAGGCGGAUAAACCUAAAUUUUAAUGCAUAAAUGUCCUAUUGAAGGCGGACAAGCCUAAAUAUCAUUUUAAAGGAAAGCAUGCUUAAAAAUUCAAUUAAAGGCGGAUAAGCCUAAAUAUUUAAUGCAUAAAUGUCCUGUUAAAGGCGGACAAACCUAAAUACCAUAUUAAUAGGCAAACGUGCAUAAAAAUCCAAUUAAAGGCGGAUAAGCCUAAAUAUUUAAUGCAUAAAUGUCAUGUUAAAGGCGGACAAACCUAAAUACCAUAUUAAUAGGCAAACGUGCUUAAAAAUCCAAUUAAAGGUGGAUAAGCCUAAAUAUCAUAAAGGCAAGCGUGCUUAAAAAUCUAAUUAAAGGCGGAUAAGCCUAAAUAUCCUAUUUAAGGCGGAGGAGCUUAAAUAUUCAAUUAAAGAUAAAUGUGCAUAAUAUCCAAUUAAAGGCGAAUAAGCCUAAAUAUAAUGCAUAAAUGUCCUAUUAAACGCGAACUAGCCUAAAUAUUAUAUUAAAGGCAAACGUGCUUAAAAAUCUAAUUAAAGGCGGAUAAGCCUAAAUUUUAAUUAAAGCAAAAUGUGUCUAAACAUCCUAUUAAAGGCAGACGAGCCUAAGUGUCCUAUUAAAGGCGGACAAGCCUAACUGUGAUGCUUGAUUUAAUAUUACAAGAUUGUUGCAGUGCGAAGGGCCUAGUGUGAUGCCUGAUUCAUAGAAAAUUAGUGAAAUGCAAAAAAGCUUGGUGUAAUUCCUGAUUCAAAGCAAUGAAUACUCAUGAAUCAAGUGAAGAACUUGGUGCAUUGUCUUCGAGUUUUCAAGGUGUGAUGAGGAGAGUAUGGUGCAAUGUCUUUAAAAUAGCAAAUUGUAUGGUGUAAAGAGCUAGAUGCAAUGCAAUAGCAAAUGUUCAUGGUAAAAUGCCGACGCUUGUCAGAUCUUCAAGCUGAAAAUAUCUAUUAUUAAAUUCCUGCAUUCAAAGAAAAAUUGUAAGUUCCAAAAUUUGAUUCAUGCUGGCUUGGCUUCAUCCUUUUCUGAGUAUUGCGAUUUUGGCUUGAUGCUAAGCUUUGGAUCAUCACGCAGAUGGUCUUGAUCGAGAAUGGCUAGAGCUUGCCCCUUUUUUACUCAAAGGAAAUUCAUUAGUAUAAAAUAAAGUGGUUGCCUUGCAUUGAACGUCAAAGUUUUGGCUUUGAAUCUACAACUUGCUGCUAUGGCAUUCUGGAAAUUUGUUGUUGCGCUUGUAACAAAUAUGUAGCUCAAAAUUUCACUUUAUGCUUUGCCAAAUGGUGAGUAUCCUUUUAGCAAAAUCUGCCCCGGUUUUGGCUUUUGGGGUAAAUAGAAUUUUAUUAUGAUGAGACCGAACUCAUAGGGUUGCCUACGUAUCCCCUCUUAAACGGGAAUUAGGUCAAAACGUAGUUCAUACAAAAGUUUAACAAAAAGUACAUGAAACAGAGUAAAUCAUGAAAGGGCGGACAAAUAGUAGUGAUGAAAAACUCUAAUCAAUCAACUUGUUUAGCUUCACGCUUUCUCUUCAAAGGUCUUGGUGCCAACUUUGAAAGAUCACCUUUAACCACGAUGGUAUUAGUGACUGAAGGUUCAUAGUUGUUGCAUGGUUGCUCUUGCUGCACAAUUAUCUUGUUGUUUUCAAUCAUGUUCUGAAUCUUAUGCUUAAGUGCUGGGCACUCUUCUGUGUCAUGGCCUUGAAUAUAUGAAUGGUACGCACAAGUUUUAGACCAAUCAAAAUCUGGAGGAAGAUCUUGCGGGAUCCAUCCUUUCCUUGGUUGUAAAAGUCCUUUCGCUUUCAAUCUCUCAAAUAUGCUUGUCAAUGAUUCUUUCAGAGGAAUAAAAGUGUUGAAUUUCAGGUUAUCUGAAUGACGAUAGCUAGAUUGUGCUUGAUAAGCUUGAUGUUAAAUGCUUUGGUGAGUAGGUUGGAGUUGUCUAUGAGUUUGUAGCAGUUGGUUGUUUUGUUGAGAUUGUGGCUGAUGAGCGGGAAUGCAAGCAUAAUCUAUCUUCCUCUUUUUGCCUUGUAAACUCUCGAGUGUCUCAUCUUGGAAAGUGGCUUGUAAUUUUGAAUUGUCAAUAAUUUUUCCUACUCGAAUGCUUGCUUCUAUCAGUUUUCCAACUCUAAUCAAAUCCGAGAAGUCAUGUAGCUGAGCGCAUAGCAACUUUUCAUAGUAUAUGCCUUUUUGCAUUUCGAUGAAGGUGGAAAUCAACUCAUUCUCGGGUAAUUGAGGGCGUAUUUUUGAAGCCUCCAGUCUCUAAAGCAUGGCAUAUUCUGCAAAAGACUCGUAUUGCAUUCUUUCUACUUCACGCAUAUCACAAAGCGUUGGACUAUCUCCAAUAUUAAACUUAUAUUGUUCUACAAAUUUGCGAGUCAUGUCCUCCCACGUGUACCAUUUGCUAAAAUCUUGUUGAGUGUACCAAUCAAGCGCUAGCCCUGAUAGACUCUGAAUGAACAACUUCAUUAUGUCCAAUCCCCACUAAUCUGCUGCAGUAGUCUUUUAAAUGAGAAAUGGGAUUUCCUUUCCUAUUGAAAGUAUUGAAUUUUGGAAUUUUGAAUCCUGGCGGAAGCUCAACAUUUGGAUGCAUGCACAAACUUUCAUAUCUUAAACUCUGAAUAUUUCUUGCACGCAUUUCUUCCUCCACGGUCUUUCUUAGGUUAUGGAGCUCUCUAUCUAGAUCAUCCCAGCUAGUCGUCUUAAUUUCCUUUCCUGGUUUUUUGUAUGGGCAUAGCGCUAGUUGAUUUUGUUGGCUUUCUAUUACUGAUGUUGCAAGUGCAGAUGAUUGGGCAUUGGUCAUCAUGAUGACUGGCAAUGCCUCUGGAUUGAUAGUAAGUUUUGGCGGUAUCAGUGGAGGACUUAUGUAAAUAAUUGCUAGAUGAGGAGAUAUGGUCAAAGAGACAUUUCGGGUUGAGCUGGAAGCAGAAUUUGGGUUGGGGAGAAGGUUGAAAGUAUUUCCCAGAUUGACCAAAAUGUUCCUCCGUAUAACAUUUGUCUCCUCAUCAUCAGUCUCAACUUGCAACAAACUUUUGCCGGUACUGAGUGCUCCAAAUCGAUUUGCCAUUAUAGUUGCGUUCUUUAAUGCAGAUUAGCAGCCAAAACAGUGUUCAAUGCUAGGCAACCUUUAAAGAAAAAUAAAACUUUUACAAACAAAAUAAGGUGUUAGCAUAUUCAUCAUAAUGAAAUAAAUGCAUAAAAAUAAUAGAAUGAUUAUAUAUAUUAAUCCAUGUUAUGGUUAAAUAGGAGCCUUAAACUAGAAACAAUGGCCUAUGUUGCAAAAUGGAUGGACGAGACUGAAUUGUUAUCUAGAGGGCUCUAACGCUCGAGACUUUUGAUAUGGAAGUGGAAUGAUUUAAAAUUUUGUGAAAGGUUGACUUAUGUUCGAACAUCAAAGCUUUAGCUCUAGCAUAGUCAACUUCUUUGCAUGCCUUUGGAAUUUUCCAAAUAAUUGCCCCAAUCUUUAGGAAGGUUCUGAUGAAUACUUCAUGGCAUGAUGUCCCUUUUGAGAAAACUCAACCUGCGUGCCAAGAAUCUGCCCCAGUUUUUUUCAUGAAGGGAAAUGAAAAUUUUGCUGUAAUUAGACCGAGUCUUAUAUAGACUGUGUUUCAAAGAGGUCAGAGACAAAUAAUUUUGACGUUGAAAAUAAUUUUUGGCUAUUUGAAUAUCGACAAGCUCAAAAUCAAGAUACUUGAUUAGGAUAUAAGAGUCUAUUGGACAUGAAAUGUCUCUAUUAUUUUAUUGUUUAGUGUUGGCAAAUCAUAAAGUUGUCGAGGCCGGGAAUACAGUAUUAACCGUUUUGAGACUUUAUGGGAUAGUACCUCGACUCACAUGCCAAGACUUAGAAUUAACGGGUGCGUGAAGAUUAGUCUCGAUGACCCGAAAUAAGAUGAUACAAACACUUGAAUUGAAUAGGUAAAAAUUUUAGAAUAAUUUGACGAUGCAAACUGACCAAAAUAGUGGCCUUCUAUUGCUCGGUAGAUUGCACAAGUUUGGACAUCUACCAAUUUGUAAAUGAGAAUUGGUACGAAGGUUGAAAUAGGUAGAAUAGUAAGUAGAUUUUAUGAAACAUAGAUCUACGAUAAGAAUCGAAGGUAUGAAUAUUCUGUGAGGCACAAGUGGCAAUAUUUGAAAAAUGUGUAACUAUUUUAAAGAAAAAAAUGCGAAUAAAAUUAACUCACGGAUUAGAUGGGAAAAAUAUUUUCUAAUUAUGAAAUAUUACGCCUUUUUUUAAAGAAGUAGGGAUGAUAUCUUGCUAUAGGGAGUAAGAUGCUCAUUGUAAAGAAAAUUCUUAAGGCUAGUUUAAGGCACGAAUAUCGAGGAAUUUCAUGACAAACUGAGCUUGUUGAAGAGAAUUUGCGUGCAAAACGUCCUAAAUUAUAAAUAAUAGAAGAUUUCCCAAAGACUAAAACGAUAUCUUAAUUAGACUCUAGGAAAUGAAAUGGGCCUAAGAAAAAUUUGAGCUUAAGUAAAUACCUAAAUGGUGCUCAAGAGCUGUUAAAAAGCUAAGCGAGGCGAUUUCAGGAAGAUGAUAUUAAAACAAGCAGAAGAAUAUAUAUAUAUAUAUAUAUAUAUGAACAAAUAAAAUAUAUAUUUAAAUAAAGAUACAAGUUGGAUAGUUAAUACUUCCUUUUUCUGAAAAACAACAAAUAAUAUUAGUAAAAAUAAUAAAGUCGAGCAAGCAACACAGAGAGUAAGCAAGUAAGCAAAUAGGCAAGCAAAUCAUGCGACACAUUCCAAAGCAAAUAAUAGCGCAUUCUAAUACGUGGGGAGGCCUCUUUGUGCCAGAGGUAGGCCUAACGUAUAUUUGAAAGAUAAAUAUGUCAUUAUGUAUCAUCCCAUUGAUGUAAAUUAAUUGAAUAAGUCUAUUUUUCAAAAGAAAAUAAAGUAUAAUAGUAUGAUUGCUUAAACCCUUCUUUUGUAAUAAAAGAUCAAAAGAAAGUAUAUAUUUUCAUCAUGUCAAAACUUCUCGCUGAUUAUGUCAUUUGAAAAUUUUACUACAUAUCAUAGAAAUAAUGACCAUGCUCAUUUACCUAAGAUUUAAUUAAUUAAGAGAAAAUGGUCCACAUAAUUGACAUGUUAACUCUUCAAAUAAUGCACAUACACGUGAUAAAGUGUCACUUGGGGUUGAAAACCCACUUGGACAUUUAGGUAAGGUUAACUAAUGGAUUUAAUACACCUCGGGUAUUAAAUCACCUAAAGUUAAAAUGAUGCAUGCUCUUAAAAGGGUUUCGGUUUAGCUCUAUCUUAGGCUGACUAAGACUGGGUUUUGCUAGACUGGUCAUCUCCCAAGCGGACAACUUGAGAGUGGAAAGCCUGUGACUAUCGAUUGCACCGCUGAUCGACUUACCCACAAACUUUCUCCUAAAAGGUGUUUUAAGUAGUGCACGGCCGCAAACCACGUAACCACUAGAUGUGUGCUUUGUGUGAAUUUUCCAGUAGUGGAGAAAGUGAAACGGAAUGACAAUUUAUAUAAAGCAAUAAGAACAGAUAAACAAUUCAUAAAAUACAGUUUAUCAUAUAAAGGCAAUUCAAAUAAGCAUCAUAACAAUAAAAAACACACAAAUUAAUUUUUAUUAUUAACCUAAGUUUGUUAUGGUUUAGAACCUAGAAUCCCCAGCAGAGUCGCCAUGCUGUUAUACCCCAUUUUAAUACGGGUCAAAUUAGAGUAUAACAUAUUGGUAAUUCUGAGGUUUAAUUAAUUAAAGAGAGUCGCCACCUAAUUAUUUUAACGGUGAAUUAGGACACCAAUUUUAGCUAAAUAGUGCUUAAAGUUAACUCUAUUCUAUGGUCUACUUAACCUUCAAGACUACGGGUAAGGGUUCUAAUUGAUCUUAUAGAGAAGGUAUUAAGCACUCUAUAUGACCCAUUAAAUAUGGUUAACCGGCCAAACUUAGGUUAAUUGAUAAAAAAUAUUACGCUAAAGUAUCAAUAUAUAGCUAACUAUAUAACUCGAUAGAAAACAAUAGAGUAUUCGAUUUCAGCAUUGGCUAACUUCUGUGGAACUUAACAACUUAUAUCUUAAGGAAAAUGUUUAAGUCCCUUAAGAAAGCUGACGAUUUGAGAAAAAUAUUUUAUAUAUCAGUUUUAACAUGAUGAAAGCAAUAAUUUAAAAUAAUUCUCAAAGGAAGAACGCUUGGAGACAAGUCUUUCUACUUGCUAAAGAAAAGCAAUUUUCAUUCGAACUUUUAGAAAACACUCAGCAUAUUAAUUAUAUAAAAUCUCAACUUGAUGAUGUUAGAAAGGAUGUUAACGAGAUCUUUUGAAAAACUUCAUUUUAAUGACUUGUGAAAGUGUCACAUUACUAUUUUUGAAGUUUAGAAGUCUAGGUAAACACUAUAUGAUAAAAUAGGUACCUUGUUUGCUAGCUAAAGAAGAGAUAAUUAAAUAGACUCAAUCUUCAAACCUAUGUUAAGCGUGAGAUAAACACAAAUAUCAAAUAAACCAGGAGACAUCAAGAAAUUAAAUAAAACAAUCGUAAAAUAAAGAGAAGAUAAGAAAGACGCCAUAGGCGCCCCCAAGCAUUUUGCUUGUUUUCUUGCUAUCGGGUGCACUCUAAGGAAGAUGCCAUGUAAUGACUCCAGGCUCGAGAAUGGGAGAGUCUUGCAUUAAAACUCCAUAUUUUGCUCCAAAUAUAUACGCAAAAGAAAUAAACAAGCCAAGAAUUAGGAAGAGGAAAAAAUCUUUUUUUUCUUUAGUGCUAAAGAGCAGAGGUUAAUAACAAGUAGAAUCACUUCAAGUAAUAUUGAUAUUCAAAUUAUCUAAAUAAGUUAUUAGCACACUCAUAGCUUAUCAUCUCAUAUUACUACCGUCAUUCAUGCUAUCAUAAAACUAAUAUUACCCAUAUAUAAUAGAUAAUACUAAAAUGCAUGGGCAACUAUGUGACUCAAAAAUUAUUUUAAAGUUUCAAGUAUAAACCCUUUUAAUUCUUAAGUUAAGCAACGACGUCAAUAAUUAUAAAAGGAUCUAUAAUCGUAUACCAACAUUUCACAAUAACAUGCGUUUCCGUCAGCUAAAGUCUAUAUCAUUGUGAGAAAUUCUAAAUUCUAAGGACAUAGCUUCUAAUUAACCAAUUUAUACAGUAAGAUUAAGCUAAUACCCAUAAAUUCCCAAAUGGUAAUAUAAACACUUAUUUCACAAAAGAAAUACUCUACGGAAGCAAACACUAUCCAGAUCAUAUAGGAUGAAUUAUUAACAUAAAUAUAACUCAUACUUAAUAGAAGAUAACCAUGAAGAGGGCAACUAAUUCACUAAUAUAUUCAUAUGACCAUCGACACUUUAUUUUACUUAAUUAAGAGAUACUUAAAAAAAUAGUCUUACAUGAUUUCAUACAUGAACAAAUUUACAAUGGAAAAUAAACUGGAGACAAAAAUUUUUUAAAAAAAACAAACAAACAUUUCAGAUCUUCGAAUACAGGAAAGCCGAGAAGAAAGAUUUCGAAGUUACUGACCUUUUUGUGGGCAGUGAAUGGGGCGUCAUCAAGAGGAUCUCCGGCUUUGGCUCAGCUCUUUCGGAAGAUCGUCAAAUGCGUACACAAAAAAAAUAAAAGCUUUGACAAUGCUAUGGACUAAAUAGAGGUCAAAAAGCAGAGAAAACUUAAAGCUGGAUUUUACGAGAGCAAGGAAGAAGAUAAGCUUUGAAUAGUUAGCCACUGAGGGUGAAGGGAGAUAGAAGGGGGGCGGCCAACCAUUAGUUUUUGGAGUAAAAUGGUUGUUGAAUCUUAAACUUAGAGGGGAUAGAGGAACGGCCCAGAGCUUAAAGGUUAAAGGAGAGGGUUCAAGCUUGUGGGUUUAAAGAGAGGUGUAACGGCUCUCAAAAGCUCUGUCCCAAUAUAUUCCAAAUGCAAGUAUUUAUAGGUGAAGAAGUAGGGUUCAUGUUCCUGAUUUUGAAAUUCAAAAUCCCAUGGCAGAGAAGGAUCACGGGUAUUUUGAUUCAAAAGAGCCGUUUGAGGCAGCUGAUUUUCAACGGGCAAAGUGUAGGUGUGGCAGCAGAGAUUUUACCAAAAUUUUCUAAUCUCCUUUUGGCAUUGAGAAAAUAUAGAAGAAAAUGUAUAUAGAAUGGAAAGACUUUUUGAAGAGAGACAGAGAGAGAGAGAUUUUAG
Molecule: long non-coding RNA, 12802 nt
Filed under: Nicotiana tabacum (common tobacco)
Lineage: Eukaryota; Viridiplantae; Streptophyta; Magnoliopsida; Solanales; Solanaceae
Description: long non-coding RNA (NTAB_LNC012943)
Source: RNAcentral